CUACGGGGUGCUGCAGUGAGGAAUAUUGCACAAUGGGGGGAACCCUGAUGCAGCAACGCCGUGUGGAGGAUGACGCAUUUCGGUGUGUAAACUCCUUUUAUAUGUCAAGAAAAUGACGGUAGCAUAUGAAUAAGCACCGGCUAACUCCGUGCCAGCAGCCGCGGUAAUACGGAGGGUGCAAGCGUUACUCGGAAUCACUGGGCGUAAAGGACGCGUAGGCGGGUUGGAAAGUCAGGUGUGAAAUCCUACAGCUGAACUGUAGAACUGCACUUGAAACUUCUAAUCUAGAGUAUGGGAGGGGGAGAUGGAAUUAGUGGUGUAGUGGUAAAAUCCGUAGAUAUCACUAGGAAUACCUAAAGCGAAGGCGAUCUCCUGGAACAUUACUGACGCUAAGGCGUGAAAGCGUGGGGAGCAAACAGGAUUAGAUACCCCGGUAGUC
Molecule: ribosomal RNA, 439 nt
Filed under: uncultured bacterium
Lineage: Bacteria
Description: partial 16S ribosomal RNA
Rfam family: Bacterial small subunit ribosomal RNA
Source: RNAcentral